Non-coding RNA from Pelobates cultripes (western spadefoot toad), 503 nucleotides. The record is from the annotation of a GenBank genome assembly. NCBI's taxonomy places the organism in Eukaryota, Metazoa, Chordata, Amphibia, Anura, Pelobatidae.
GUGACCUUCAGGAAGAACCCCGUGAGCUCAUUUACAGUAUUUAAAACAUAUACUUUGGCCUAAAUUCUGAAUUUCACGUUGAAUUCUCCUGUUGGUAAAUAGCCCUGAUAAACUCAACAUAUUGAUAUAUGGCAUAGAUUGGUGGAAGUUAUACUCCCAAGCAGCAGUCUGGGGCACUUAUGUUCUGGUGUAGCCCCAAGAGUAUGGGCUGCAGCACUGCAUGAAUUAUCGUUUUACUGCCCGCUAUCUUUCAAGGAUUUAAAAACUUUACAAGCAAUACAUCUUUAUAUGAAAGACAAAAACUACAGAAAAAACAAAAACAAAUGAAAUCCAACAUCAGAUUAUGACAAAAUAAUGCAAAUAAACAAAUUACAUUGAGCUAUGGAAAAUGACAUCUUUGUAAACAAAAUCAGAUAUAUUCACACACACACUUUUAAAAUCAAAUCCACGUAAGAGUGAGCAAAAGGCUUUAUCUAGAAAACUGGUGAACAUGUUGACUGCAG